ACUUGGAAACAAGGUGCUAAUACCGGAUAAGAAAGCGGAUCGCAUGAUCAGCUUUUAAAAGGACGGCGUAAGCUGUCGCUAUGGGAUGGCCCCGCGGUGCAUUAGCUAGUUGGUAAGGUAAAGGCUUACCAAGGCGAUGAUGCAUAGCCGAGUUGAGAGACUGAUCGGCCACAUUGGGACUGAGACACGGCCCAAACUCCUACGGGAGGCAGCAGCC
Molecule: ribosomal RNA, 217 nt
Filed under: uncultured Lactobacillus sp.
Lineage: Bacteria; Bacillati; Bacillota; Bacilli; Lactobacillales; Lactobacillaceae
Description: partial 16S ribosomal RNA
Rfam family: Bacterial small subunit ribosomal RNA
Source: RNAcentral